Molecule: ribosomal RNA, 290 nt
Filed under: Escherichia coli
Lineage: Bacteria; Pseudomonadati; Pseudomonadota; Gammaproteobacteria; Enterobacterales; Enterobacteriaceae
Description: partial 16S ribosomal RNA
Rfam family: Bacterial small subunit ribosomal RNA
Source: RNAcentral
CUCGCGAGAGCAAGCGGACCUCAUAAAGUGCGUCGUAGUCCGGAUUGGAGUCUGCAACUCGACUCCAUGAAGUCGGAAUCGCUAGUAAUCGUGGAUCAGAAUGCCACGGUGAAUACGUUCCCGGGCCUUGUACACACCGCCCGUCACACCAUGGGAGUGGGUUGCAAAAGAAGUAGGUAGCUUAACCUUCGGGAGGGCGCUUACCACUUUGUGAUUCAUGACUGGGGUGAAGUCGUAACAAGGUAACCGUAGGGGAACCUGCGGUUGGAUCACCUCCUUACCUUAAAGAA